RNA transcript from Chenopodium quinoa (quinoa), 3340 nucleotides. It is a transcript of the gene named solute carrier family 40 member 3, chloroplastic-like, with no coding region annotated. The transcript is spliced from 15 exons. Lineage: Eukaryota; Viridiplantae; Streptophyta; Magnoliopsida; Caryophyllales; Amaranthaceae. The record is from RefSeq and is a predicted model, not a curated record.
CUUCUAGAUAAGAAACACUCCCAAUUUAAUCUUCCCACUUUCCAAAUUUCUCUUCAAAAUACCACAAAUUUUUUCUCAGAUAAAAACGGCGCAGAAAUACUUGAACACUUAACCACUAUAUCAUCCACAAAAACCCAGAAAAAACUCCCAUUUUCUCACUCUAACUCAAUCAAAAAACCCAAUUUUGUUCACUAAUUUUAGUGGGAAUUGAAGUAAAUUGAAGUUGGAAUUCUGGGGUCUGCAUGGUUAAGCACCUUAGGGGAGAGGAUUUCUUGUUGGGGCACUUGAAGAAGAAAGAGAGAGGAAAGCUUCUUCUACUUCAACAAUGGCGGGUGGUGGGAUUAUUGUUGCUCAGUUGCUGCCAUUUUCUUCAACGCCUCAACAUCCUCGUUGGAAUUCUUCUUCGUUUUCGCGCUUGCCGCCCUCUUCCCGAAUACGUAAUCGCUUCUCUUCUCGUCGAUGGUUGAAUGUUUCCUACCCUCUUCUUCCUCCUCUGAGGGUUGAUGAUUUUUGUGCAAGAUGUUCAAUGAUAGAUACUGAUCUACUUCUGGAUAACGUUGUUUCUGAUGAAGAUACUGAAGAUGACUUGUCAUCCUCUGCUUCUAAUUUUUCUGACAUUCUUGAGGCCGAGUCGUUAAAUAUAUUGAGUGAUAGAAGUUACGUUGAUAAUGUUUUGACUGCAUUGCCAGUUUUAUCUGAGGAAGAACAGAAUGUCCUUGCUGCUACCCCUGCUCAUCCUGCUGGCUUGUAUGCUUUAUAUGCCAAUUGUUUGGUAGGGAAUUUUGUGGAACAACUAUGGAAUUUUGCUUGGCCUGCUGCUAUUGCACUGAUCCAUCCAAGCCUUCUUCCUGUUGCAGUCGUGAGCUUUUUCACUAAGUUUGCAGUUAUUCUUGGAGGACCAUUAGUUGGAAAACUUAUGGAUCAUUUCCCUAGAGUACAGGCAUAUAAUUGUCUAAGUAUUGUCCAGGUAACUACCCAGCUGAUGUCUGUGGCAAUGAUAAUUUAUGCUCAUAAAGUUCGGUCUGCUUCUGUGUCAUCAAUUCUAGUUCGCCCUUGGUUUGUUAUUCUUGUUAUAGCGGGUGCAAUUGAGCGACUAUGUGGAUUAGCUUUGGGUGUUGCCAUGGAACGUGACUGGCUUGUACUGCUAGCUGGGACCAAUAGACCUAUUGCACUUGCGCAGGCCAAUGCUGUUAUCAACCGAAUUGAUCUUCUCUGUGAGAUUGCGGGUGCUUCUCUAUUCGGUAUUCUUCUGUCUAAAAAUGACCCUGUAACCUGUUUGAAACUUGCUGCUGGUUUUAUGAUCUGGGGUUUGCCCCUUACAGUUGCUCUUACUUGGUUUACCAACAUGGUUUCUACUGGUGUUCUUGACCGUGCUAAGUGUCCGCAGACCUGUUCUGACCGUAAUACUCGAUUAACCCAGGAAGAUAAUGAGAAUAUAGUGAGUUUAGGUAUUAAUGCUAUCAAACAUGGGUGGUCCGAGUAUAAACAGCAGCCUGUUCUUCCUGCAAGCGUAGCCUAUGUGUUUCUGUAUUUCAACAUUGUUCUCACCCCUGGUGGUUUGAUGACUGCAUUUUUGACUCAGCGUGGUCUUAACUCCUCCAUAAUUGGUGCUUUUAGUGGAUUAUGUGCUUUAAUGGGUGUUGUAGCGACAUUUGUAUCUGCUAAACUCAUCGAAGAGCUUGGUAUCUUAAAGGCUGGGGCUGUUGGGUUAAUUUUCCAGGCAUCACUUCUUGCUCUAGCAGUUGCUGUUUACUGGAGUGGAACUCUUUCUCAGCAGACACCCAUCUUAUUCUUCUUGUUCCUAAUUGUUUUAUCAAGGCUAGGACACAUGUCAUAUGAUGUAAUUGGCCAGCAGAUUCUUCAAACUGGAAUCCCAUCAUCAAAAGCUAAUCUUAUUGGGACGACAGAGGUCUCCGUUGCCAGUUUGGCUGAGUUUGUGAUGUUAGGCAUAGCAAUAAUCGCAAACGAUGUCUCUCAUUUUGGAUUUCUAGCUAUGCUUUCACUCCUGUCUGUUAUUGCGGCAGCAUAUAUCUUCUGCCUAUGGUUGAUGAAUCCUUCAGAAGAGCAAAGGAGGCUUUUUUCCUUUUGAACGCCAAUUUUGAUGACAAAGGUUAGAGUGGAAAGGAAGAGAGAGGGAUGAGAGAAGUAAGGUGACGGGUAGAAACAAGAUUGUGGCAAUACAAAAGGGAAAUUAAAAGUAUUUUCACCAAUUACCGACCAAACAAUUGAAAAUGAGAACACUGGUAACCCAGAAAAAUGGUUUUCCUCCAAACCAAACACAGCCUCGGUCAAGGUCUCAAGAGGUGUUGCUGAGUAAUGGCCAAGCCUUUCUACAAUAUUUACAUAAAUUGAAGAGAAAACAAUCACAAAUUUGAUUCUUUGGGGACAAUUUACAUCCUUACAGGUGUUACUUCUCUAUUCCGAGCAUUCCCCUUGUGGCCUUGUACAUCAAUGAAAAGGUGACAAGUUUGACCCAAUUCUAUUCUUUGCUCUCUUCUUAGUGGAAGGUUAUGAUGCUGUUCACUAAUGAUGAGCCUAACCCUGUACAGACUACAGAAAUCUCAUUAAGCAUAAUAUUUAUGUAAGCUGCAGUUGCUGUGCAUUAUCAAUUUGUCAUCAAAGAAGUUUAACUUGAUACUUCUGAUUGUGAAUAUGUGUUCUAUUAAAAAAAAAAAAAAAAAGUUAAAUAUGAAAAGGUAGUCGAAUUGUUUUGUGAAUAAGGUCCAUUCUAUUCGUUGGCAGGCCUUUCUGAUACCAGUUGUAAUUUUAUUCUCAAAUCCUACUUAAGCAAGUACUUAAUCUUGCUAUUGAAUAAAAAUGAUGGUUACUUCUAACACGGUUUUUAAAUAAUGUGUUUUUGCUUCGAAUGAUAUGUUAUUAGUAUCUGAAGAUCAGAUGACAUAAUUGCAAAGAAACAGAAGAUGAGGGAUGUGGUUGAAAAUCUGUAAUCGGUUUCGGGGCUUCAUUAUGAUUACUGUGAGCCUGUGAGUGUGGGCUCUCUGAUUUUGCUUUGAUAUCAGGUGUUAUUCAAGGAAAGAUGUGAUGUUUCAAGGAGCACUUGAAGCUGCUGUAAUUAACUCUACUGUAUCUGUAUGUAUAUGCUGAAGGAAUCUUAAUGGUCUUUGCAUGGUACAUGUACAAUUUAGCUCAGUUAUAUUACAUGCAACAGCAGCAUUGGCACCUGUGUUGUAUUGUUUGUGGUUGUGAUGAAUUUGGACUUUGAGUUCUCCUCAGUUUGAUUCGGUGUAACAAGGUCGAACUGUACAUUCUCUAAGCAUCCACAGGGUUUCCACUUUAGCGUGUAUAUAGCUUCUAUUAAUAAAAAGAUUAUCUUUUUGUA